RNAcentral lists this long non-coding RNA (325 nucleotides) under Bos taurus (domestic cattle). Its description in RNAcentral is "long non-coding RNA NONBTAT026895". Lineage: Eukaryota; Metazoa; Chordata; Mammalia; Artiodactyla; Bovidae. The record is from RNAcentral.
GCACAACAGAUUUUGUCUCAAACCUACUUCUUCUUUCUUGUAAUAUAUAAUAACAUAUUCUAAGAAGCAGAGUAGAUGAUUAGGAAUUUUACAUACUCAUUUAGUCAUUUCCAGGUAAUAAUUAGUGUAGCGUGAUAAGAUCUUGGUGGAACUGGAGCUCCCAGGCCAGGUGUCUUGGAUUUAGAAUGGUCUCCUCUGUUUAGUCCUCCUCUAUUUACCAUCUAUUUAUUCCUCUCUGCCUUCCCCUGUUUAUCUUUAUAAGAAAUCUAUACACUGAUUUUUUAAAUAUUGGAAUACUGUUUGGGGUUAUAUAUGUUUGAUAGUG